This 250-nucleotide ribosomal RNA is filed under the name uncultured prokaryote. RNAcentral's name for it is "partial 16S rRNA". It matches the Rfam family "Bacterial small subunit ribosomal RNA", at positions 525 to 775 of the family's 1533-position model. The record is from RNAcentral.
ACGGAGGAUGCAAGCGUUAUAAGGAUUUAUUAGGUUUAAAGGGUGCGUAGGCGGAGACUUAAGUCAGUGGUAAAAGGCAAUAGCUUAACUAAUGUAAGACAUUGAUACUGGGUUUCUUGAGUUCGGUAGAGGUAGGCGGAAUGUGUUGUGGAGCGUUGAAAUGCAUAUAUAUAACACAGAACACCGAUUGCGUAGGCAUCUUACUAUGCCAUUUCUCACGCUGAUACACGAAAGCGUGGUGAUCAAACAU